RNAcentral lists this ribosomal RNA (433 nucleotides) under uncultured bacterium. RNAcentral describes it as "partial 16S ribosomal RNA". It matches the Rfam family "Bacterial small subunit ribosomal RNA", at positions 29 to 507 of the family's 1533-position model. The record is from RNAcentral.
AACGAACGCUGGCGGCAUGCCUAACACAUGCAAGUCGAACGAGACCUUCGGGUCUAGUGGCUCACGCGUGCGUAACGCGUGGGAACCUGCCCUUAGGCUCGGAAUAACUCCUCGAAAGGGGUGCUAAUAUCGGAUAAUGUCUUCGGACCAAAGAUUUAUCGCCUUUGGAUGGGCCCGCGUUGGAUUAGCUAGUUGGUAGGGUAAAAGCCUACCAAGGCGACGAUCCAUAGCUGGUCUGAGAGGAUGAUCAGCCACACUGGGACUGGGACACGGCCCAGAAUCCUACGCGAGGCAGCAGUGGCGAAUAUUGGACAAUAGGCGAAGGCAUGAACCAGCUAGGCCGCGUGAGUGAUGAAGGCGUUAGGGUUGUAAAGCUCGUUUACCCGGGAUGAUAAUGACAGUACCGGGAGAAUAAGCGCCGGCUAACUUCGUG